Dioscorea cayenensis subsp. rotundata (Guinea yam) is the source of this 184-nucleotide long non-coding RNA. RefSeq lists it as uncharacterized. The record is from RefSeq and is a predicted model, not a curated record. NCBI's taxonomy places the organism in Eukaryota, Viridiplantae, Streptophyta, Magnoliopsida, Dioscoreales, Dioscoreaceae. The transcript has 3 exons.
UCUCUCUAUAAGGUUUUCAUUUGAGGUGGAAUCAAGCUCUCAAAUCUUGAUGGUGUUGGAUUGCAAUUGCAGGAAAGUUUUUGAAGUUGGGUUGCUUCCGGAAAGAUCAUAUCAAGUUGAGGAGUCAAAGUUGGGUUCUUGGUAAAGAAGAAUUGGAGUCCAUUGGUACUCCUUUGCUUUCUUG